AUUAUAGCUAGAAUAAACAAGUUUAUGAGGUUGGGUCUGAGACUUCUGGAGGAUUUUGGUUGAACCCAAACACCCAGCUUCAGUUUUGUUUUUUUUUUUUUGAUUCUUCAUUUUGCCAGAGUAAAUUAAUUGACCUUAGGUUUGAAAAAGUACUUAUUGAAUACCACAAAUAAUCUAAUGGUUUAAAAAUACUAGCUGUAUUGUAUUUGUUUAUAUUUUACUUUUUUACUUAAUUCCCUUAAAACCAGCAAGCUCUUAAAGAAUAAUGGGAAUGGGUAAAUGAAAUAAGCUUUUAAUUCUUACUUGUGUUAAAUGAAUAUUGUAAGCAAAGUCCAAAAUGAAAGUCAUGAUUAUUCUAAAG
This 361-nucleotide long non-coding RNA is filed under the name Bos taurus (domestic cattle). Its description in RNAcentral is "long non-coding RNA NONBTAT012093". The record is from RNAcentral. Lineage: Eukaryota; Metazoa; Chordata; Mammalia; Artiodactyla; Bovidae.